This 284-nucleotide long non-coding RNA is filed under the name Helianthus annuus (common sunflower). RNAcentral's name for it is "sRNA HanXRQr2_Chr08g0326191". The record is from RNAcentral. Lineage: Eukaryota; Viridiplantae; Streptophyta; Magnoliopsida; Asterales; Asteraceae.
AUGUUUGCAAUGUAUUCGCGCCGAAACGUGCGCGUUUUCUCAUUCUUGUGUGGUUUCUCAUCCAAGGAUCAAUAUACGUAAACCGUGAUGAGGUUUGAUGUGACGAGGAUGAAGACACAUAGGGAUUUGCCUUAGACAAUAAACCGGAUUUUUUUUAUGUCCUGGAUUUUGUUUGGUUUAUUUGGAUAUUUAUUUGACUAUGUAACAUUGUUUAGUUUUGACAUGAAUGAUAUUUAAACUUCUAACUAGGGUUUAUGCCCGCGCUUCGCGGCGGGGCAUACUGG